CCUACGGGGGGCAGCAGUGGGGAAUAUUGGACAAUGGGGGGAACCCUGAUCCAGCCAUGCCGCGUGUGUGAAGAAGGCCCUCGGGUUGUAAAGCACUUUCAGUGAGGAAGAACGCCUGGUGGUUAAUACCCAUCAGGAAAGACAUCACUCACAGAAGAAGCACCGGCUAACUCCGUGCCAGCAGCCGCGGUAAUACGGAGGGUGCGAGCGUUAAUCGGAAUUACUGGGCGUAAAGCGCGCGUAGGUGGCUUGAUAAGCCGGUUGUGAAAGCCCCGGGCUCAACCUGGGAACGGCAUCCGGAACUGUCAAGCUAGAGUGCAGGAGAGGAAGGUAGAAUUCCCGGUGUAGCGGUGAAAUGCGUAGAGAUCGGGAGGAAUACCAGUGGCGAAGGCGGCCUUCUGGACUGACACUGACGCUGAGGUGCGAAAGCGUGGGUAGCAAACAGGAUUAGAUACCCUAGUAGUC
RNAcentral lists this ribosomal RNA (465 nucleotides) under Vreelandella stevensii. RNAcentral describes it as "partial 16S ribosomal RNA". It matches the Rfam family "Bacterial small subunit ribosomal RNA", at positions 338 to 795 of the family's 1533-position model. The record is from RNAcentral. Lineage: Bacteria; Pseudomonadati; Pseudomonadota; Gammaproteobacteria; Oceanospirillales; Halomonadaceae.